UUGUUACUCCCCCCGUCCCAUAUUAAUUGACGCUCAAACGGAUGUAUCUAGAUGUAUUUCAGUGCUAGAUACAUCUGUUUGAGCGUCGAUUAAUAUGGGAUGGAGGAAGUAGUAU
Molecule: non-coding RNA, 115 nt
Organism: Hordeum vulgare subsp. vulgare (domesticated barley)
Lineage: Eukaryota; Viridiplantae; Streptophyta; Magnoliopsida; Poales; Poaceae
Source: Rfam